GACGAACGCUGGCGGCGUGCUUAACACAUGCAAGUCGAACGGAAAGGCCCUGCUUUUGUGGGGUGCUCGAGUGGCGAACGGGUGAGUAACACGUGAGUAACCUGCCCUUGACUUUGGGAUAACUUCAGGAAACUGGGGCUAAUACCGGAUAGGAGCUCCUGCUGCAUGGUGGGGGUUGGAAAGGUUCGGCGGUUGGGGAUGGACUCGCGGCUUAUCAGCUUGUUGGUGGGGUAGUGGCUUACCAAGGCUUUGACGGGUAGCCGGCCUGAGAGGGUGACCGGCCACAUUGGGACUGAGAUACGGCCCAGACUCCGACGGGAGGCAGCAGUGGGGAAUAUUGCACAAUGGGCGGAAGCCUGAUGCAGCAACGCCGCGUGCGGGAUGACGGCCUUCGGGUUGUAAACCGCUUUCGCCUGUGACGAAGCGUGAGUGACGGUAAUGGGUAAAGAAGCACCGGCUAACUACGUG
Molecule: ribosomal RNA, 468 nt
Filed under: uncultured bacterium
Lineage: Bacteria
Description: partial 16S ribosomal RNA
Rfam family: Bacterial small subunit ribosomal RNA
Source: RNAcentral